This 254-nucleotide ribosomal RNA is filed under the name uncultured bacterium. RNAcentral describes it as "partial 16S ribosomal RNA". It matches the Rfam family "Bacterial small subunit ribosomal RNA", at positions 524 to 776 of the family's 1533-position model. The record is from RNAcentral.
UACGUAGGGCGCAAGCGUUGUCCGGAAUUAUUGGGCGUAAAGAGCUCGUAGGCGGUCUGUCGCGUCUGCCGUGAAAACCCGAGGCUUAACCUCGUGGCUUGCGGUGGAUACGGGCAGACUAGAGGUAGGUAGGGGAGAAUGGAAUUCCCGGUGUAGCGGUGAAAUGCGCAGAUAUCAGGAGGAACACCGGUGGCGAAGGCGGGUCUCUGGGCCGAUACUGACGCUGAGGAGCGAAAGCGUGGGGAGCGAACAGG